UACGUAGGUGACAAGCGUUGUCCGGAUUUACUGGGCGUAAAGAGCGCGCAGGCGGUCGAUCAAGUCGAGUGUGAAAGCCCCCGGCUCAACUGGGGAGGGUCAUUCGAUACUGAUCGACUCGAAGGCAGGAGAGGGUAGUGGAAUUCCCGGUGUAGUGGUGAAAUGCGUAGGUAUCGGGAGGAACACCAGUGGCGAAGGCGACUACCUGGCCUGUUCUUGACGCUGAGGCGCGAAAGCCAGGGGAGCAAACGGG
Molecule: ribosomal RNA, 253 nt
Filed under: uncultured bacterium
Lineage: Bacteria
Description: partial 16S ribosomal RNA
Rfam family: Bacterial small subunit ribosomal RNA
Source: RNAcentral